RNAcentral lists this ribosomal RNA (483 nucleotides) under uncultured bacterium. RNAcentral describes it as "partial 16S ribosomal RNA". It matches the Rfam family "Bacterial small subunit ribosomal RNA", at positions 28 to 507 of the family's 1533-position model. The record is from RNAcentral.
GACGAACGCUGGCGGCGUGCUUUACACAUGCAAGUCGAACGCUGAAGCUCAGCUUUUGUUGGGUGGAUGAGUGGCGAACGGGUGAGUAACACGUGAGUAACCUGCCCCCUUCUUUGGGAUAACGCCCGGAAACGGGUGCUAAUACUGGAUAUUCACUGGUCUUCGCAUGGGGGUUGGUGGAAAGGGUUUUUCUGGUGGGGGAUGGGCUCGCGGCCUAUCAGCUUGUUGGUGGGGUGAUGGCCUACCAAGGCUUUGACGGGUAGCCGGCCUGAGAGGGUGACCGGUCACAUUGGGACUGAGAUACGGCCCAGACUCCUACGGGAGGCAGCAGUGGGGAAUAUUGCACAAUGGGCGCAAGCCUGAUGCAGCGACGCCGCGUGAGGGAUGGAGGCCUUCGGGUUGUGAACCUCUUUCGCUCAUGGUCAAGCCGCAACAAUGGUUGUGGUGAGGGUAGUGGGUAAAGAAGCGCCGGCUAACUACGUG